Molecule: ribosomal RNA, 468 nt
Filed under: uncultured bacterium
Lineage: Bacteria
Description: partial 16S ribosomal RNA
Rfam family: Bacterial small subunit ribosomal RNA
Source: RNAcentral
GACGAACGCUGGCGGCGUGCUUAACACAUGCAAGUCGAACGGAAAGGCCCUGCUUUUGUGGGGUGCUCGAGUGGCGAACGGGUGAGUAACACGUGAGUAACCUGCCCUUGACUUUGGGAUAACUUCAGGAAACUGGGGCUAAUACCGGAUAGGAGCUCCUGCUGCAUGGUGGGGGUUGGAAAGUUUCGGCGGUUGGGGAUGGACUCGCGGCUUAUCAGCUUGUUGGUGGGGUAGUGGCUUACCAAGGCUUUGACGGGUAGCCGGCCUGAGAGGGUGACCGGCCACAUUGGGACUGCGAUACGGCCCAGACUCGUACGGGAGGCAGCAGUGGGGAAUAUUGCACAAUGGGCGGAAGCCUGAUGCAGCAACGCCGCGUGCGGGAUGACGGCCUUCGGGUUGUAAACCGCUUUCGCCUGUGACGAAGCGUGAGUGACGGUAAUGGGUAAAGAAGCACCGGCUAACUACGUG